CCUACGGGUGGCAGCAGUGAGGAAUAUUGGUCAAUGGACGCAAGUCUGAACCAGCCAUGCCGCGUGCAGGAUGACGGCUCUAUGAGUUGUAAACUGCUUUUGUACGAGGGUAAACCCCGAUACGUGUAGCGGGGUGAAAGUAGCGUACGAAUAAGGAUCGGCUAACGCCGUGCCAGCAGCCGCGGUAAUACGGAGGAUCCGAGCGUUAUCCGGAUUUAUUGGGGUUAAAGGGUGCGUAGGCGGUUUGAUAAGUUAGAGGGGAAAGGGCGGGGCUCCACCCCGAAACUGCCUCUCAUACUGUUGGCCUAGAGCAUAGUUGCGUUAGGCGGACUGUUUGGUGUAGCGGUUAAAUGCUU
Molecule: ribosomal RNA, 356 nt
Filed under: uncultured bacterium
Lineage: Bacteria
Description: partial 16S ribosomal RNA
Rfam family: Bacterial small subunit ribosomal RNA
Source: RNAcentral